GAUGAACGCUGGCGGCGUGCCUAAUACAUGCAAGUCGAGCGAACAGACGAGGAGCUUGCUCCUCUGACGUUAGCGGCGGACGGGUGAGUAACACGUGGAUAACCUACCUAUAAGACUGGGAUAACUUCGGGAAACCGGAGCUAAUACCGGAUAAUAUAUUGAACCGCAUGGUUCAAUAGUGAAAGACGGUUUUGCUGUCACUUAUAGAUGGAUCCGCGCCGCAUUAGCUAGUUGGUAAGGUAACGGCUUACCAAGGCAACGAUGCGUAGCCGACCUGAGAGGGUGAUCGGCCACACUGGAACUGAGACACGGUCCAGACACCUACGGGAGGCAGCAGUAGGGAAUCUUCCGCAAUGGGCGAAAGCCUGACGGAGCAACGCCGCGUGAGUGAUGAAGGUCUUCGGAUCGUAAAACUCUGUUAUUAGGGAAGAACAAAUGUGUAAGUAACUAUACACGUCUUGACGGUACCUAAUCAGAAAGCCACGGCUAACUACGUG
RNAcentral lists this ribosomal RNA (497 nucleotides) under uncultured bacterium. RNAcentral's name for it is "partial 16S ribosomal RNA". It matches the Rfam family "Bacterial small subunit ribosomal RNA", at positions 28 to 507 of the family's 1533-position model. The record is from RNAcentral.